UAUGAAAAUGCAAAAAUAUAUACAUCUAAAUUACUAUGAUUAAAAUACACAUGUAAUAGGAAAAAAGAAAAAGAGAAAAAAGAACGCUGAUGGGCGUAGCGGGCUGGCCGAUCUCUCGUUGCCAGUCGGCCAGCCAACGUACAGGAGCCCUCGACUUUGACUGCCCUGCCCUGCUCCUCUUCCUCCCCGCCGCCGUCGUCGGCGUCGCUGCCGAAACCCGCGCCAAUCCCCCUUAUUUUUCUUUCUCCGGCGUCUCUCUGGGCGCCCUCCCACUCUGGCCCUCGAGUCACGCGCCUCUUGCCCAGACUCCUCUCCUCUCCCGCUGCCUUAUCUCCUCGAACGACUUCGCCCCCUUCGAGGCUGCCGGAGUUGAACCUCACGCCGCCCCUCUCACGCUUCGCACCGUCGCCAUCCUCACCCUCGCCUCGCCCCUACUGAAAUUGGGUUCCUGCAAUCGACGGAGCAAGCACUAAGCAGUGGUCAUUCGUUUCGUUUUCGUUUUCGUUUUCGUUUUUUCCCCCUUUUCCGUAGAGUAGAAAUGACGCCGCGUGUUAUGAUUUUCAGUAGUUCGGCAAAGUAUAUGUAUUGUAUGCUAAUAUAGUCCAGGUCAAUUCGCUCAUGGUUUCUCUCUUGUUUCGAAUUUUGUUGCUAGAGUAGUGGUCAUUCUUUUCGUUUUUCUUUUUUGUAGAAUAGAAUAUGUUAUGAUUUUCUGCAAUUCGGCAAAUGGUAUAAUAUGCUAAUCAAGGACAGGUCUAUUCGUUCAUCGUUUUUCUCUUGUUUCGAAUUUUGUUGCCAGGAACAGGAGCAUUCCAUUCUCCCAGAAAGUUAGUUGCAUGCAUCUGUCUCAGUGGGAGGAGUACAUGUGUUAGGGUGCACAUUGCACAUCCUGUCAUGCAAUAGCUUACUAUGAUACCUGUGGAGAUCCACCACUAUAGCUGUUAGUGGGUUGCUUUCUUCUGGCUAUAUCAUCCCAAUUCCCAACCCAAAGUUUGAACUUUUUCUUAACCCUUGGUGGAUCAGUGGCGGAUCCAGGAAUUGGCAGUUGGGUAUUCCCAAGUCAAAAAAAUUGUCCAAUCCAAAAUUACCAAAAGUUCACAAUAGCAUAAGUUAAAAGUACAAAUUAUUCAAACUAAAGAUGUUCCAUACUUCUAUGUAAUAAAGAGACAUACAAAAUAUUUAAAGAAAAUUACAAUGUAACUUUAAUGUUGCGCACUCGCGCUGGCCGUUGGCGUGCCUGUCGCCGCCCGCCGCCCUCGCUCCUGCACCCCUUGCCGGUUGCCCACUGGUCUAUUGUUGGCGUGCCACUCGCCGCCAGCGCCCCAUGUGGCUGUGCCUAGGGUUUGGGCGAUUUGGGGGAGAUCGGAGAUGAGAAUGCGAGGCAGGCAGGCAGAGGCAGCGAGUGCCGAAUUGGCCAAUUGGGGACUCGGGUGGAGGAAUGUGGACUGGGCCGCUGGCCUGCUGGUUGGUUUGUUGGGCAGCAGGGCAGGUAGAGUUGUUGGUCAUUUGUGCUAAGGACUCAAGAAACAAAGGAUAUGGCCCAACUAGAACUAUACACAUGUAUAUACCUACUGUAUACUUGAUUUUUUAUCCAAAAGAGUUGGGGAAUACCCAACCAUCAUACUGGAUCCGCCAGUGUGGUGGAUUUGAUAAAGAAAAGUUUUUUUAGAUAUGAUUGCUACCAAUUAACAUUUCACACAUCCCAAUUGUCGGAAUGCUUGGAUUUCUAAGGCUUAUACCCCUAUGCAGCUGCCUUGCCGUCAUCUUCUGUGUGCCAAUUGGAUUGAGGCCAAGAUGUGUGUUCAGGCCAGUAUACACGGCAGCCAUGUGAAUGGGGCUUAAUCUUUCUCUGGUGGUGGCCGUGUGGAGUUCACAUGUCGCUUGAACAUUGAGGCCAAUAUUUACUGAAGGACGUAUUUGAUCCAUGAGAAUUCAUUGCCAAAAAAUUAUGAUCUCGCUGCCUGACGAGAAGAUGCAUGAGAUUCUUCUGUUGCAGCAGCUAUUAUUCCUGUCCCUAUUAAGGAACGAUCAAGUGCCAUGAGCCAUAGCAUAGAGAAUUUUGAAGAGCAUUGUGAAGACUUAAGGGGGCAAGCUUUAGCCUUCUACUUCAGGUUUUUGUGAAGAUUCAUUGGCGCCGUGGUGACAAAGAGUAGCAACUGUUAUUCUUUUUUUUUCAAUGCUUGGUGGAUUUGACAAAGUUCCAAGAAAAGGUUUUUGUUAAGAUUCAUUGAUGCUGGAAGCAACAAACAGUGGCAACUGGUGUGUUUGGAUCCUUGAUGGAUUUGACAAAGUUCCUGUGAAGAUUCAUUGGUGCAGAAGGCGACAUAUCCCUUUCGAUUCUUCAAUGGACGCUCUUUGUUCUGUUACCACUAUUAAUUGUUGUGACAAAGUUGAUACAAACCCAAGGUUGAAGAAAACUGUCAGUUUACCACCAAGUUGUUUUGCAAAACAUCACAAUUCCCCAAAUUCUACCGAAUCCCAUCCAAUCCAAAUGAAUCUUGCGAGUUGAACACACCUAUGAGCAACGUGCAGUUUGCCCACCGCAUGCGCGAGACAUACCGACUGAUGGAAUCCAGAAAGAGGUGGCUAGUAUCUAAAUUCAAGGCUCGCUGAUUUGGUUGCAAGUUAUCAUCCGAACAAGCUCUAAAGAUAACAUAAAUCUAUUCAAAUGAACAGAGCCAAAGACACAGUUGGAUGACUCAAGGUGCUAAAGAUGUGCAGCUGACUGCAACAACAAUACAUCACCUGAACAGGAUCAGAAGGAAGAUGAGGCACUGACAUGAAGAUUUGGGAACAGACACACACCAAGAGUUCACUGACUUUUAUUUUUAUGAUUACUUGGCAGUGAAAAGUAACAGGUACAUAUCACAAACACGAAAACCAAGCAUAAAUAUAACAAGAUCAUAGCCGGUACAUGUUCGCAUAACAUAUGUCCCCUGCCAUGGUUCGGCACUGACGUACCAAAGGGCAGAAACCUACUACCAUAUUCCAUGGUUUUUGUGAACAAUUCAUUCAAACUAAUUAACAUCUAUUACUGACCAGAAUCCAUGGUCUAAGAACAGGCGUUCGUUGGGGGAGCUGGUUCAGGAGGAGGAACACGCUGGUUCAGGAGGACACACGAUGCAGUGGAAGCAGCAGGAGGCAGAGACCGCUCUGGACAUGGGUCAGGAGGAUCCAUCGGGCUGGAGGAAGGGAUCCUGAGGAAAGCAAGACGAUAGAGCCCCUCUUCCUCCUCGCCACCCUGCAUACGGCCCUCUCCGACCACGGCUCCCGUCCGGUCCACGACGAGACAGCCCGCGGCGUAGAACAUGGCGGCGAAACCAUACAGCGCGAGCUGGGACACGGAGACGAGGGUGACGCCAGGCCCGAGCUCGGGCACGUGGUGGACAUCGGGGACGGCGAACUCCGGCGUGCUUACGGAGCCCACGGCAACAACGCGCAUUUCCUUCCCGUCUCGCCUGGUGAUGGAGGCGGCGUCGCCGCACCGCGGUGUCCUCGUCUCCUUUAGCAUGCUCGCGUCGCCCGUCGCGUGCACGGUGCUUCCGGAAUCGAGGAUGAACUUUGAGCCGCCAUCAAUUGGGGGAGCAGCAAUCUUCGAUUCCAUCCGAUUGCUGCGGCUGCCGGCAUCAACUUGGUAUUAAUCGGUGAGAAGGCCCAGAACACGGAUGGACGGAGGAAUCGGGCGGCGGGCUUACCUGUCCGGCGAGGGAUCGACAGUUCCCCCGUGCUCCGUCAUCCCUGAACCCUAGCCGAGGAAGUUUCGAGGAAGGUGAUCCAGAUUCCAGACGGCGGCUGACCACGAUAAUAUUCUUUUUUUUUUUUUUCUGACGGGAGGCUAACCACGUCUCAAUUUGUACUUGGGCUUCUAAAUUCGGAGGUUGCUGGGCCGCAGAACUUUUUGUGGGCCAGAAAAUGGAGGCAGGUCCAAAUAAAAAGGAUUCCAAUAAUCUUGAUUUUUCUUUAUUUU
Phragmites australis (common reed) is the source of this 3964-nucleotide long non-coding RNA. RefSeq lists it as uncharacterized. The transcript is spliced from 5 exons. NCBI's taxonomy places the organism in Eukaryota, Viridiplantae, Streptophyta, Magnoliopsida, Poales, Poaceae. The record is from RefSeq and is a predicted model, not a curated record.